Molecule: ribosomal RNA, 450 nt
Filed under: uncultured bacterium
Lineage: Bacteria
Description: partial 16S ribosomal RNA
Rfam family: Bacterial small subunit ribosomal RNA
Source: RNAcentral
GUGGGGAAUAUUGGACAAUGGGGGGAACCCUGAUCCAGCCAUGCCGCGUGUGUGAAGAAGGCCUUUUGGUUGUAAAGCACUUUAAGUUGGGAGGAAGGGCAGUAAGUUAAUACCUUGCUGUUUUGACGUUACCGACAGAAUAAGCACCGGCUAACUUCGUGCCAGCAGCCGCGGUAAUACGAAGGGUGCAAGCGUUAAUCGGAAUUACUGGGCGUAAAGCGCGCGUAGGUGGUUUUGUAAGUUGGAGGUGAAAUCCCCGGGCUCAACCUGGGAACUGCCUCCAAAACUGCAUGACUAGAGUACGGUAGAGGGUAGUGGAAUUUCCUGUGUAGCGGUGAAAUGCGUAGAUAUAGGAAGGAACACCAGUGGCGAAGGCGACUACCUGGACUGAUACUGACACUGAGGUGCGAAAGCGUGGGGAGCAAACAGGAUUAGAAAACCCUGUAGUCC